Molecule: ribosomal RNA, 156 nt
Organism: Prosopis cineraria
Lineage: Eukaryota; Viridiplantae; Streptophyta; Magnoliopsida; Fabales; Fabaceae
Product: 5.8S ribosomal RNA
Exons: 1
Source: RefSeq, a predicted model, not a curated record
GACUCUCGAUAACGAAUAUCUCAGCUCUCACAUUAAUGAAGAAUGUAGCAAAAUGCUAUACUUAGUGUGAAUUGUAGAAUCCCGUGAACCAUCGAGUCUUUGAACGCAAGUUGCACCCAAAGUCAUUAGGUUGAGGGCACGUCUGCCUGGGCAUCA